GGAUUCUGAGACACGAAUCCAGGCCCUACGGGGUGCAGCAGGCGCGAAAAACUUUACAAUGCGGGAAACCGUGAUAAGGGGAUCUCGAGUGCCAGCAUAUAAUGUUGGCUGUCCAGAUGCCUAAAAAGCAUCUGUUAGCAAGGGCCGGGCAAGACCGGUGCCAGCCGCCGCGGUAACACCGGCGGCCCGAGUGGUAACCGCUAUUAUUGGGUCUAAAGGGUCUGUAGCCGGCCAGGUAAGUCCCUUGGGAAAUCUGGCAGCUCAACUGUCAGGCUGCUAGGGGAUACUGUUUGGCUUGGGACCGGGAGAGGUGAGAGGUACCUUGGGGGUAGGGGUGAAAUCUUGUGAUCCUCGAGGGACCACCAGUGGCGAAGGCGUCUCACCAGAACGGGUCCGACGGUAAGGGACGAAAGCUAGGGGCACGAACCGGAUUAGAUACCCGGGUAGUCCUAGCCGUAAACGAUGCUCGCUAGGUGUCAGUCACGGUGCGACCGUGAUUGGUGCCGUAGGGAAGCCGUGAAGCGAGCCACCUGGGAAGUAUGGCCGCAAGGCUGAAACUUAAAGGAAUUGGCGGGGGAGCACUACAACGGGUGGAGCCUGCGGUUUAAUUGGAUUCAACGCCGGAAAUCUCACCGGGGGCGACAGCGAUAUGAAGGUCAGGCUGAAGACUUUACCGGAUUAGCUGAGAGGUGGUGCAUGGCCGUCGUCAGUUCGUACUGUGAAGCAUCCUGUUAAGUCAGGUAACGAGCGAGACCCA
Molecule: ribosomal RNA, 757 nt
Filed under: unidentified archaeon
Lineage: Archaea
Description: bacterial SSU rRNA
Rfam family: Archaeal small subunit ribosomal RNA
Source: RNAcentral